This 3170-nucleotide ribosomal RNA is filed under the name Olea europaea subsp. europaea. RNAcentral describes it as "eukaryotic LSU rRNA". It matches the Rfam family "Eukaryotic large subunit ribosomal RNA". Lineage: Eukaryota; Viridiplantae; Streptophyta; Magnoliopsida; Lamiales; Oleaceae. The record is from RNAcentral.
GUAACCCCAGGUCAAGAGGGAUCACCAGUUGAGUUUAAGAAUAUCAAUAAGUAGAGGAAAAGAAACUUACAAGGAUUUUCCUGGUAACGAUGAGUGAAUCGAGAAAAGCCCAACUUGAGAAAUGGAUGGCCCCACUGUUCAAAUUGUAAUAUGGAAAAAUGUCCUCAGUGAUGGACCAAGCUUAAGUCCCCUGGAAAUGGGUACCAGAUAGGGCGACAGCCCCGUUGUGAUCAGACCCUACCGCACCACGAGGUACUAUCGACGAAUCAGGUUGUGUGGGAAUACAGUCCCAAUCAGGCGAUAAAUUUUGUCCAAGGUUAAAUACGGGAGAUAUCGAUAGCGAACAUGUACCACGAGGGAAACAUGAAAAGAAUUUUGAAAAAAGAAUCAAAGAGUGGUUGAUAUUGUCGGAAGGGAAAUAGAUGGGGGUUGGCGAUAUGUCCUGGUCGGAUGUGGAACGGUAAUGAACCGAUCCGCCAAUUAACUCGGGGCAUGGACCAGCAUGAAUCGAGGUGACAACCAAAGCUCGGGUAGUUAACAUGCUCGUAAAAUGCCAUCGCCCCGAUUGUUGCGGUAGCUCGCGCCCUUAGCAUGCCACUACACCUGUGCACUCCCGGUACUGGCCUACGUGCUCUCCAUUCGACCCAUCUUGAAACACAGACCAAGGAGUCUGACAUGUGUACGAGUCAAUGGAUGAGUAAACCCUAAGGCUCAAGGAAGCUAAUUGGUGUGAUCUCCUUGAGGGGUGCAAUGUCGAUUGACCUAGAUCUUUUGAGAAGGGUUUGAGUGCAAACAUACCUAUUGGGACCCAAAAGAUGGUGAACUGUGCCUGAGCGGGGUGAAGCCAGAGGAAACUCUGGUGGAGACCCAUAGUGAUACUGACGUGCAAAUCGUUCGUCUGACUUGGGUAUAGGGGCAAAAGACUAAUCGAACCAUCUAGUAGCUGGUUCUCUUCGAAGUUUUCCUCAGGAUAGCUGGAGCUCAGGUGCGAGUCCUCGAUCUAUUCUCAAACUAUAAAUAGGUCGGACGGCACAGCUGCUUCAUUGAGUUGUGCCAUGAAAUCGAGAGCUUGAAGUGGACUAUUUUUGUUAAGCCAAACUGGCGAUGUAGUUUGAAUCGAAAGCUAGGUUACGAUGUCCAAUUGCAUGCUAACCUAGUUCCCAUAAAGAGUGUUGGUCAAUUAAGCUAGUAGGACGGUGGUCAUAGAAGUUAAAAUCCGCUAAGGAGUGUGUAACAACUUACCUACUGAAUCAACUAGCCUCAAAAUUGGAUGGCGCUGAAGUGCGCGACCUUGGGCACAAAACCUUGGGCACGAGAUCGGGCAGAGUGGUUGUCGUUGCGGAUCUUUGUGGUAGUAUCAAAUAUUCAAAUGGGAACUUUAAAGGCCGAAGAGGGAAAAUGUUCCAUGUGACUGACAUUUGCACACGAGUUAGUCAAUCCUAAAGGUCGGGGAAAGUUCGAUGGAUAGCACAUUUUGCACGUUCAGCGAAAGAAAAUAGGGUUAAAAUUCCUGAACAAGGACACGACUGUUGACAGCAACAUUAGGGAGUCCAGAGACGUCGACAGAGACCUCGAGAAGAGUUAUCUUUUUUGUUUAACAACCUGUCCACUCAGGAAAUUGCUUAGUCGGAGGUAGGGUCCAGUAGCUGGAAGACCGCUGCACGUCUCAUGGUGUCUGGUGCAUCCCCGACGACCCUUGAAAAUUUGGAGGAUCGAGUACCGUCCGCUCCCGAUCGUACUCAUAACAGUAUCAGGUGUCCAAGGUGAACAGCCUCUGAUCAAUGGAACAAUAUAGGCAAAGAAAGUUAGUAAAAUGGAUCCGUAACUUCGAGAAAAGGAUUGGCUCUGAGGGCUGGGCAUGGGGGUCUCAAUCCCAAACCCAUUGGCUAUCAACGGACUGUUCAAUCUACUACUGUAACGAGAGUAGGUCGCCACAUGAUUGCUGACGGAUGGACUCGGAAUGGGUCCUUUCGGGGCUUUCUUGGCCAUUGAACAGUCAACUCAGAACUAGUACGAGGAAGGAAAAUCUGACUGUUUAAUUAAAAUAAAGCAUCUCGAUUGUCCUUGUGAAUGCUCACAUAAUGUGAUUUCUGCCCAAUGCUUUGAAUGUCAAAAUGAAGAAAUUCAACCAAGUGCAGGUAAACGAUGAGAGUAACUAUGACUCUCUUAAGGUAGCCAAAUGCCUCAUCAUCUAAUUAGUGACGCGCAUAAAUGGAUUAACGAGACUCCCACUGUCCCUGUUUACUAUCCAGCGAAACCAUAGCCAAGUGAACGAGCGUGGCAGAUUCAGCGGGGAAAGAAGACCUUGUUGAGCUUGAAUCUAGUCCGACUUUAUGAAAUGACUUGGGAGGUAUAGGAUAAGUGGGAGUCGAAAGCCGAAAGUGAAAUACCACUACUUUUAACGUUAUUUUACUUAUUCCAUGAAUCGGAGGUGGGGCACUGCCCCUCUUUUUUGACCUAAGGCUCACUUCGUGGACUGAUCUGGGCAAAAGACAUUGUCAGGUGGAGAGUUUGACUGGGGCAACACAUCUAUUAAAAGAUAACGUAGGUGUCCUAAGAUUAGCUCAACGAGAACAUAAAUCUCGUAUGGAGCAGAAGGAUAAAGGCUUGUUUGAUUCUGAUUUCCAGUAUGAAUAUGAACCGUUAAAGCAUGGCUUGUGAUAACUGGUGAUAGUGUCGAAGCUAGAGGUGUUAGAAAAGUUACCACAAUGAUAACUGGCUUGUGACAGCCAAGCAUUCAUAGCGACAUUGCUUUUUGAUCCUCGAUGUUGGCUCUUCCUAUCAUUGUGAAGCAAAAUUCACCAAGUGUUGGAUUGUUCACCCACCAAUAGGGAACGUGAGCUGGAUUACGACUAAAUGCCUGACAGGUUAGUUUUAUCCUACUGAUGAUAGUGUCGCUAUAGUAAUUCAACCUAGUACGAGAGGAACUAUUGAGUCGCACAAUUGGUCAUCGCUCUUGGUUGAAACGCUAGUGGCGUGAAGCUACUGUGCGCUGGAUUAUAAUUAAAUGACUCUAAGUUCGAAUCCGAGCUAGAAGCAAUGUGCGUACUCACCGUCCACUUUUCAACCCAUAGUAGGGGCCUUAUGGUCCCCAGGGGCACAUGUCGUUGGCCAAGCCCUUGCAACAGAUGUGCUGUGUCGUCGGCCUUGAAGCACAAUUUCCAUCGAGU